Molecule: ribosomal RNA, 460 nt
Filed under: uncultured bacterium
Lineage: Bacteria
Description: partial 16S ribosomal RNA
Rfam family: Bacterial small subunit ribosomal RNA
Source: RNAcentral
CCUACGGGGGGCAGCAGUGAGGAAUAUUGGUCAAUGGACGAGAGUCUGAACCAGCCAAGUAGCGUGAAGGAUGACUGCCCUAUGGGUUGUAAACUUCUUUUGUCGGGGAGCAAAAGACGCCACGCGUGGCGUUCCGAGAGUACCCGAAGAAAAAGCAUCGGCUAACUCCGUGCCAGCAGCCGCGGUAAUACGGAGGAUGCGAGCGUUAUCCGGAUUUAUUGGGUGUAAAGGGAGCGUAGACGGCAGGGCAAGUCUGGAGUGAAAGGCAGGGGCCCAACCCCUGGACUGCUCUGGAAACUGUCCGGCUGGAGUGCAGGAGAGGUAAGUGGAAUUCCUGGUGUAGCGGUGAAAUGCGUAGAUAUUAGGAGGAACACCAGUGGCGAAGGUGGCUUACUGGACUGUAACUGACGUUGAGGCUCGAAAGCGUGGGGAGCAAACAGGAUUAGAUACCCCUGUAGUC